UAGCAGGAAGAGAGUGAGGCCGGCUGCACAUCAGCCCCUGUAAAUGCAGACGCUGGAAUCCAAUCAAACAGGGUGUUUGAGGAAUUCGCUUUGUGGGCCAGUUAAGUGGUAUCUGAAUCAAGGGGACGCAGGAGACUGUGGUACCAGCAUCUCUCCCAUUGGGUCUGGCCCUAUGUCUCCCACAAACCACAGAUUCUCUAAGGACUUCAGGGAGAGCAGUGACAGCUCUGGAAUUCUCCAUAAAAGCUGGGUGGGGGGAGUUAGAGACUGAGUGGAUUUGAGCAAGAGACUCUGGACUCUUCCGGACAGGAGCGGUCAGCCAGUGCGGCCAUGCAGGAAGAGCUGGCCCGUGGGCAAGAUGGAAGCGGCCUAGGAUGCAGAAGGCAGAGCUUGGUGUGAGAGAACUGGAGAGGAAAAUGGAGGCUCAAAGGAAUUAAGGAGCUUGAAUCAUGGUCUGGCUGAGCCCAGGCCCAGGACUGCUGCUGUUCAGCCUGACUCCCUUCUUCUGCGAAGUCAAGACUUGGUUGGCUUCCUUAGCCAGCAACGUCACUUCAGCCUGGACAUGCUGGGAUGCCUGGCAGACGUCCCAGUGACACUGCACCUCUGAAUGGGCCCUUCUGGCUACCAUCCUGGGAGGAAGAACAUUUUUUCCAGCAGGGCCUCAAUCCAUCCUGUGAUGGUCCAGACUUCUGAGGUGAAAGAGAGCAGAGGAGUUCCUCCCAUGAGACCCCUUCCACACUUGUUUCUGAGAGGUGUCCUUGCUGCCUGCACCAUGGAGAAAGGCAGGCGACCAAGGGCUUCCAAAAGACUUUCUCUGGGCAGCUUGUCACCCACUCCAGGAGAGGUCCGUGCCACCCCUCGCUGCCCUGGAGACACCUGCCUGGACUCUGGCCCACAGUGGCCCUCUGGAUGGGGACACAGCCAGAACAGCAGAAACCUGCUCAUUCAAUUGUCCUGAGAAAAACCUAGAAUCAGCUUCAGAUAUGGAUUGCACAGUGGAGGGAUUAAAAACAAACACAUGAGAACAUUGACUUCAGAUGUCCAGCAGACAGAGAUCCCAGUCAGAGAUGAGCUAUGUAGGGGCAGGGGAGCAGCCGCCUUCUGGACAAGCAUACUGUGUCACAAAUGAGGGUCUGCAUGGACCAUUUCUGUACCCUGUUUAGGCACCAGUAAGUCUUAAAACUCAACAUUCAGAAAACUAAGAUCAUGGCAUCUGGUCCCAUCACUGCAUGGCAAAUAGAUGGGAAAACAAUGGAACCAGUAAGAGACUUUAUUUUGG
Molecule: long non-coding RNA, 1279 nt
Organism: Bubalus bubalis (water buffalo)
Lineage: Eukaryota; Metazoa; Chordata; Mammalia; Artiodactyla; Bovidae
Exons: 4
Source: RefSeq, a predicted model, not a curated record